RNAcentral lists this ribosomal RNA (483 nucleotides) under uncultured bacterium. RNAcentral describes it as "partial 16S ribosomal RNA". It matches the Rfam family "Bacterial small subunit ribosomal RNA", at positions 30 to 507 of the family's 1533-position model. The record is from RNAcentral.
UUGAACGCUGGCGGCAGGCCUAACACAUGCCAGUCGAGCGGAUGAAGGGAGCUUGCUCCUGGAUUCAGCGGCGGACGGGGGAGUAAUGCCUAGGAAUCUGCCUGGUAGUGGGGGAUAGCGUCCGGAAACGGGCGCUAAUACCGCAUACGUCCUGAGGGAGAAAGUGGGGGAUCUUCGGACCUCACGCUAUCAGAUGAGCCUAGGUCGGAUUAGCUAGUUGGUGGGGUAAAGGCCUACCAAGGCGACGAUCCGUAACUGGUCUGAGAGGAUGAUCAGUCACACUGGAACUGAGACACGGUCCAGACUCCUACGGGAGGCAGCAGUGGGGAAUAUUGGACAAUGGGCGAAAGCCUGAUCCAGCCAUGCCGCGUGUGUGAAGAAGGUCUUCGGAUUGUAAAGCACUUUAAGUUGGGAGGAAGGGCAGUAAGUUAAUACCUUGCUGUUUUGACGUUACCAACAGAAUAAGCACCGGCUAACUUCGUG